This 581-nucleotide long non-coding RNA is filed under the name Capsicum annuum. RNAcentral's name for it is "long non-coding RNA (CANN_LNC017444)". The record is from RNAcentral. Lineage: Eukaryota; Viridiplantae; Streptophyta; Magnoliopsida; Solanales; Solanaceae.
UUUUAAAUUUUUUUAUUUUUUUAAUUUAAUUAUUGGUGACUUUGCAGCCAUUUUAUUAAUAAUUAAUAAAAAAUAACAAAAAGUUGUCUAUCCCAAUGACAAAAAGAAAGCAAAGCUUGAAAAAUAUUGCAGGUCAAUCCCAAUUUCCUAUUUGACCUAGCUAAAAAUUUUUUAAGGACUUUAAGUUAUUACCGUUUCCAUCUUUGGGCGCCUCUCCUCCUUUGUCAUGCUUUGAAUCUACUGCCUUCUCAAUUCCAAGCUGAUUCAAAUCCUAUUGUAGAUGAUCAAUAUUGUUCCAUCCUUGUGUUAUGUCUUUCUUUCAUAAAAACUGUUGUCAAAAAACUACGGUAAUAUUUGUAGAGAUUUAUCUUUAACCCUAUCCAUUUUUCAAACUCUAUCAAGUUUCAGGUGGUUGGGUUGACUCUGUGGUGAAGGAAAAGGAGGAAACUUCCAAGGUUUGCAUCUAAUUCAUACAUAACCCUUCUUUUUUCCUUUAACACAUUGAAUCAAAUCUGAGAAUCUUUCAUUUCUUUUUCUGUUAGACAUGCAUUGAAAAUGAUUGAUCCAUUGCAGAUAUAGGC